This 582-nucleotide ribosomal RNA is filed under the name Ceratium hirundinella. RNAcentral describes it as "eukaryotic LSU rRNA". The stretch from base 193 to 347 matches the Rfam family "5.8S ribosomal RNA". Lineage: Eukaryota; Dinophyceae; Gonyaulacales; Ceratiaceae. The record is from RNAcentral.
GAACCUGCGGAAGGAUCAUUCGUGUACUUUUGUGAUGUUGUAAGUGACAUGCAGUUGUAAGCUUUGGGCAGGCAUUGGACUUUACUCCUGCUCUGAAGGUUAAGGCAGUAGUUAUUCUGGCACGUCCAAAUAACUACUGCGUCGAAUUUAGAUUACGUUGAUGUACUUGUUAUGAUGAUCACAUCAAAACAAUGUUUUCAGCAACAGAUGUCUCGGCUCAGAUGACCAUGAAGGGUGCAGCGAAAUGCAAUAAACAUUGUGAAUUGCAGGUUUCUGUGAACCAAUAGGUUUUCGAAUGUAUGCGAUGCUUCUGGGAUAUUCUUGCAAGCAAAUUUGCUUCAGGAUUCAUUAAUAUAUUGUUCAUUCACAUGCUGUGUCGUGUGAGGAUUGUGCACAUCAAGGCAAGCUUGUCAUUGAUGUGUUUAAGCAAGCAUGUUAAAUAAUCACUUUUGUAAUGCGUUUUUCGCAACUGUAAAUGUGGCAGGUGCUGCAGCCAUGCAUGCUCUUGCAUUUUUGUUCUGUGCUGCAUUAGAAUAUGACAUCAAGUAGGUUCACCCACUGAAUUUAAGCAUAUCAAUAAGC